This 292-nucleotide ribosomal RNA is filed under the name uncultured bacterium. RNAcentral's name for it is "partial 16S ribosomal RNA". The record is from RNAcentral. RNAcentral also lists the same sequence under 1 other name.
GGACUACAGGGGUAUCUAAUCCUGUUUGCUCCCCACGCUUUCGCACCUCAGCGUCAGUAUCAGGCCAGGUAGCCGCCUUCGCCACUGAUGUUCCUUCCGAUCUCUACGCAUUUCACCGCUACACCGGAAAUUCCACUACCCUCUUCUGUACUCUAGGUCAACAGUUUUACGUGCAGUUCCCAGGUUAAGCCCAGGGAUUUCACACAUAACUUAUUGUCCCGCCUACGUGCCCUUUACGCCCAGUAAUUCCGAUUAACGCUUGCACCCUCUGUCUUACCGCGGCUGCUGGCAC